UCUAUCUCGAGCGCUCGCCUUUACUAUUCCUUUUCUUAACAGAGUUCCUGUAGGACUAUUACUAUGUUUGAAUAAGUCCUGAGCAGUUAAAUGUAGGAGGUAGCAGGCGAUUAGCGCCAUUAGAGGCAGGCCACGGAUUGCGGCAUGGCCCAGGUGGUUGGGAUGGCAACCAUUGAUCACGAGUAUGCCGGGAUUAGCUUGUCCAUUUGUUUCCUUGUAACCAUACAUGAACUCCGGCGAGGAGGACGACACACACGAAGAACACAGAGGACACGAUGAGUUUGGUGCUGUAAGCGACAGCUUUUCCUUUUGAUUGUAUUCACUAUAUAUGGAUUACAUGUAUGGUUACAAGGAAACAAAUGGACAAGCUAAUCCCGGCAUACUCGUGAUCAAUGGUUGCCAUCCCAACCACCUGGGCCAUGCCGCAAUCCGUGGCCUGCCUCUAAUGGCGCUAAUCGCCUGCUACCUCCUACAUUUAACUGCUCAGGACUUAUUCAAACACAGGGCAUGCAGACAGCCGUGCAGCUUCUCAAUCUGUUGGAACAGAACAGCCAGGCCACCGGUUCUCCUUCCGUCGAGAAUCACACCCAGUUUCCUCAAAUGCAGCAGCUGUCCGAUGUCGAUCAAGUCAUCAACAUUUCUGGAUGCAUCAACAUAGGAUAGUAUCUCCAGCCUUUUCAUUCUUCGGGUGCCACUGGGAAGCUGCACCGUCUCAACCAUGUCCAUAAACCUAUGAGAGACCACCUUAUUGCCAGCAAGCAGAUGCUUUAGCAUUGGAAGAAAAAUGGAAUUUGUGGCGCAUGCCCUUGUUUUUGUUUGGCGGAUGUCCAAUGUCUCCAGGCAGUGUAGCUUGUUGAUUUGCUUGGGCAGUUGAGUAGCAUCUGUGUCCCUGAGGCUUAGGUACUUGAGCAACAAUAUAUUGCAAAUGUUCUUCAGGUGUUUCUUCGUCAGGCCUUUGCAUCCUUCGAGAUCCAGCACCUUGAGUAGCUUCCAUUGAUCAGAUCCAGCAAGGGAAUCAAGAAGGGAGAGUAUGUCAUUGGAAGAAGAUGGCUGUUCCAGUUCUAGUGCUAUCCCGCUAUUUCUGGAAAAAUGAUGAGCCAGAUCAAGAGGCAAGCAUGUGUCCUUCAUGAAGCCUACAUCCGUAGCAAGGAAGUGGUGGAUUUUUGGAUGCAUCUUGUAGGUCUUGAUCUUGCCUGCAGCACUGGUUUCCUCUGCAGCCUACAUCCGUAGCAAGCCCUGUGCUGUCACUGUUAGAGCAGGUACAAUAGCAGACUAUAAGCUAGCUAUAAGAUGAGAAAGAGAAGAGAAUUGGGCUACUAAUUUAUAGUCAGUUACAACUUGCAGCACGAGUUCUAAGAUACAAUAUGUGUAUGACAUGUGAGACCAUUUAUUAAUGUUUUAUAGGUAACUAUUGUAUAAAUUGACUAUUAGAUUGGCUAUAGAUAAAUUAGGGCUAGUAGUUGGCUAUACUAUUUGAACUUUCUUACCAUGAAAUCUUCUCCCGGUCACCAGCCCUUCUGCAAGCCACCGCCGGAUGAGCCUGGUCCUCCGGAUGGCGUGACGCUGGGGGAAGAUGGAGAGAUAGUGACUUGAUUGGCAACUCGUUGUAGCAAAACAUGAGCAUUAUCCUUGACGAGUUGUUCUUGUGCUCACGUAGGUUGUCAGACAGGCUUUCCAAUUCCCUUGUGGACCUGUAAGGAUUGGUGUACAGUAGGUGGAGGAACAUCUGCAUCGCAAAAGCAUCGUGUGCGCAAUCUCGUUCAACGAUCUGUUCCACGGGACCUUUGCGGACGGGGGAAAUUAGGGCAAGUGCUGUGCGCCGGAAAAGACCAGGACAAUGUAUCUGGCCGCCCUGUGCACUAAUGAAUAUAGUUUUGUCGCUCAGCUCCCGCGUAUAAUCGUCCCAGUCCCUGGAUGUCAGCAGUAUUGCGGUUGCACCGAUAAAGUCGAAGCGAUCUCCAAAAUCUUGCAAUAUCGAACGGAGGAGAUCGCCAUAGUAUUCAGUAUGGUUAAAACGGAGGUCAUCAAGAACAAGCAGGAGGAACUUUUUACCUGGAAGCAGGCCCUCAGCUCUCGCGGCCUCCUUCCAAUCGUCUGUGAAAAGUUGGCUCAUCUUGUGAAACAAUGAGGAGGAUUGAUUGUCUUGGAAGCUGAUCCAGAACCUGUGUUGAAAUAAGCUCACCACAUGAGGAUGAUCGUACACCAUCUUUGCAGUGCUAGCCUCUCUUUCUCCCACGGCACCUUCUCCUAGAAUAUGGAUGAUUCUUGGUGGUGGUUCUUGCCGCAGGCUCCAAUUGUCUUGUUGCAGCCAUUGGAGGACCAAUUUAGUUGCUGCCUGCGGCAUUUCGCCGAAGAGAAGCUCUCGCCUCCGGUCAUCUUUCUCCUCCUCCGGCCCGCACGGCUGCGGAGAGGCCGGGCAGGGGCUAUCAUCAACGGUGCUCCUGAUUUGAUGGUCCGGCACCGGCAGUGCAGGCGGGACGGUGAUGCCGUACCUGCUCCGUCGAUCGCCGACGUCACGCGCGCGUACCUUGAGCUCACGGAUCCGCGUCGCCACGUGGCGGCGGGCCGGGAUGGUCCGCACCAGCUGGGUUAUCCACCGGAGCUGCGCCAGAAGGCCCUUGCCGCCGCCGCCGCCGGGCGCCACGUAGUGGAGGUAGAGCUCGACGCAGGCCUCGCAGUCGCGGCUGAGCCCGGCGACGUGCCUCAUCCACGUCCUGACCUGGCGGUCCCGCUCCUGCCCCUCCAUGAUGUGCGCCACCAGGCUGUCCAUGUUCUCCAUCUCGUCUCUGAUGAACUCCACGUCGCCGCGAACGCCGCCCAGCAGCUGCGCCUCGCUCACCAAGACGGUGGUUAGCCGCCCCAGCAGCGAGUCCAGGGCACUCUGGGCGUCCAUGAAUAUCGCCCAACUCACUCAUCAGCGUUCCGUUCCUUCCCUCACCAACUCAUCAUAUCCAUGUCUCUAAUUCUCUCUGGACAUUCAUGAUGUGAUCCAUAAAUGUGUUUAGUUAUAUGGCCUAGUUACAGGCAACUCUCCGUUGCAUUUUAUCGAUAGUAUUAGUAUUUUGUACUUUGUUAAUUACUUGAUUAACAGUAUUUUGUAAUUUUGUUUUUUGCAAUAAAGAUCAUAACAAAAAGGACGAUGUUACCCUUUUAAAUUUUUACUACACAUAAUAUUGUUGGUAGUAUAAUUUAAUCACAGUCGUCCGAUAAAAAUAGAUCAAUGGUAUGGACCGGAGUCGACCCCUAGCUAUAUAUAUUGCGGAGACGGUUAAUUUUAGUCCAUUUGAUUGUUUUUUUCUCGAAAACAUAGUGAUGUUUCUUGGUUAACAAUCGGGUACAAUAAGUACGAAAAAUACAAAGAAUAACAAAAAGUCAAAGCUGGCUAUAUACAAAAGCAACAAAUGCUGAGCUUUCCGAUAAUUACAUAAAUCUUAUCAUAAUUUAUAAUGAACAACUUGUACAUUUUCUACCUGAGGUACAAACAUUCAAUUUUCUUAAAUGUCUCAUCUGUAAAGAUAAUAAUGUUAGGUACAUUCACUUAACGCCCUAUUCUUUUUUCUGCUUGCGGAUUAAUGGAUGAGCUUGUAUGCUUCCCGGGCUGUCUUACAAAUUGCCUACCGCUCUACCAACAUGCAUAUUGCAUGCAUACGUACCUCUUCCGUAUUUUAAUAGAUCAUUUUUUUUUCACAAGUUUGAUGAUUUGCCUUAUUUAAAAUUUUGUGCAAAUAUAUAAAAAAGUUAAGUUAAUGUAUUUGCUAAUAAAUCUAAUCACAACCAAAUAAGUUAGCAUAAGAUGAAUAGCCAAACGUAUACGAAAAAGUCAAUAAAAUCAUUUAUUAAAAUACAGAAAGAGUACGUAUCAAUGUACACCUAAAAUGGAGCGGUGGUGGUAAUGGAUGGUGUCUGCCACCCAACCCACCACCACUAACUCUCUUUAUUUUGUGAUAAGGGAAAAAAAAACUAUGACCCCAAUGUGCCACUAUGUCAGUAAAAAAAUAUAGAGUAAAGUACAUGGCCGGUCCUUAAACUUGUGGCGCGGUACUAAUUAGGUUCAUAAACUUUGAAAAUACACGUUUAGGUCCAUGAACUCAUUUUAACGUCUAAAAUCAUGGAUCUAGAUGGUACAUUAAAACGAGUUCAUGGACCUAGAUGGUACAUUAAAACAAGUUCAUGGACCUAAACAUGUAUUUUCUAAGUUUAUGGACUUAAGUGGUACCACGCCACAAGUUUAAACACAGACCAUGUACUUUACUCAAAAAUAUAUACAAUAAUUCAUUGAAAAAUUCUAUUGUGCCAUCGGCUUGAAGUGGGUGUACAAAGUCAAGCGCGAUGAGAAUGGCGGCAUCGUCAAGUACAAAGCGUGCCUCGUCGCCAAAGGGUACGUGCAGCGCCCCGGCGUCGACUUCGAAGAGGUGUAUGCUCCAGUUGCACGACUGGAGUCUGUGCGGCUGGUGCUCGCCAUUGCAGCUCACUACGGCUGGGGCGUCCACCACAUGGACGUCAAGUCGGCGUUCUUGAAUGGCGAGCUACAAGAGGAGGUAUACGUCCAGCAGCCUCCCGGCUUCGUCGACGGCAAGCACAAGCACAAGGUGCUGCGCCUCCACAAGGCGCUCUAUGGACUCCGCCAAGCACCACGAGCAUGGAACCACAAGCUGGACGCCGAGCUGCUGGCUCUCGGGUUCAAGCGCUGCGUCGACGAACACGGCAUGUACACGCGCGGGAGCGGAGCACAGCGCCUGAUCGUGGGCGUCUACGUGGACGACCUCAUCAUCACUGGUGGAGAUGACGACGCCGUGGCGAGGUUCAAAGGGCAGAUGCUGCGCACAUUCCGCAUGAGCGACCUCGGACUCCUCUCGUACUACUUGGGGCUCGAGGUCACUCAAGGCGCACACGGCAUCACGCUGCGUCAGAGCGCCUAUGCCAUCAAGAUACUUGAGAAGGCCGGGCUGGCUGGUUGCAAUGCUAGCACCACGCCCAUGGAGAUGAAGCUGAAGCUCCAGAAGGAGGGAACGACGCCGAGCGUCAAUGCCACGGAGUACCGCAGCCUCAUCGGGAGCCUGAGGUACCUGUGCAACUCUAGGCCCGAUUUGGCCUACUCCGUGGGAUACCUCAGCAGGUUCAUGGAGGCGCCUCGGCAAGAACACCUUGCUGCCGUGAAGCGUGUGCUUCGCUACGUGGCUGGCACGGUGCAUUGGGGCGUGCACUACCACCCGGCUGAGAGGAAGGGAGCGCCGCCCGUCUUGGUGGGGUACUCCGACAGUGAUCUCGCAGGCGACAUCAACGACCGCAAGAGCACAAGUGGGCUCAUCUUCUUCCUCGCCGGUGGACCGGUUGCCUGGCAAUCGGCAAAGCAGAAAGUGGUCGCCCUGUCGUCCUGCGAGGCCGAGUACAUCGCGGCCGCGGCAGCCGCGUGUGAAGCAGUCUGGUUGGCACGCUUGCUAGCUGAGCUCAUUGGAGGAACAGCACAAGCGCCUAGGUUGAAGGUGGACAACAAGUCCGCCAUUGCUUUGAUGAAGAACCCUGUGCAUCACGACCGGAGUAAACACAUCGACGUGAAGUUUCACUUCAUCCGGGAGUGCUGUGACAGGAAGCUGAUCAACGUCGAGUUCGUGGGCACCGAGCUGCAACUAGGUGAUCUACUCACAAAGGCACUUGGGCGCACCCGGUUUCAGGAGCUUCGCGGCUUGAUUGGUAUGAAAAAGCUACUCUAAUCGCUCGGACUUAGGAGGAGAAUGUUUGAAUAAGUCCUGAGCAGUUAAAUGUAGGAGGUAGCAGGCGAUUAGCGCCAUUAGAGGCAGGCCACGGAUUGCGGCAUGGCCCAGGUGGUUGGGAUGGCAACCAUUGAUCACGAGUAUGCCGGGAUUAGCUUGUCCAUUUGUUUCCUUGUAACCAUACAUGUAAUCCAUAUAUAGUGAAUACAAUCAAAAGGAAAAGCUGUCGCUUACAGCACCAAACUCAUCGUGUCCUCUGUGUUCUUCGUGUGUGUCGUCCUCCUCGCCGGAGUUCUAACAUACUAUUGGCC
This 6022-nucleotide long non-coding RNA is filed under the name Oryza brachyantha (malo sina). Its description in RNAcentral is "long non-coding RNA (OBRA_LNC002863)". Lineage: Eukaryota; Viridiplantae; Streptophyta; Magnoliopsida; Poales; Poaceae. The record is from RNAcentral.